Molecule: long non-coding RNA, 3869 nt
Filed under: Mytilus galloprovincialis (Mediterranean mussel)
Lineage: Eukaryota; Metazoa; Mollusca; Bivalvia; Mytilida; Mytilidae
Source: RNAcentral
GGAAACGUCAUUUUUACUCUCGCUGCAAGUGACAGCGAUCCUGAAGAUGCCGGUCUGUUGACUGUAGCACAUACAGGGAGCACUGGAUUUGCUUCAACUUUCUUUGAACUCGACUCUACCACUUGUAAGGCAUCAAUAUCAAAAAUCGUAAUUUAAAGAUUUGGAAGACACAAUUAAAAAAUGUCCUUUUUCAUCAGAUAUUUUCAAAUCAAAAAUGUAUUUAUUAUUAAUAAAAAAAAGACACACUUGGGGGAGUUUUAAAAGGUACUCCUUUAGAAUAAUAAGAUUGUGCAAUUGUAAUGGAGAACUUUCUAAAGGAAUCUGGGACUGUUAAUGUAUGCAUUUAAUCUUUAUAUUAUCAUAUUGUUAUAGGCUAGCUAUUUGUAGAACAAAAACGUGUGCAGGUGGUGUAAGUAAGCGAUAUAUGUAUAGGAAAUAAUACAAACUCAUAUCACUUUUACAAAACCAAGCCCAAGAUUUUGAAAUGUUUGAUGAGUCUCUUAAUCUGUUGCAUCCAUUUAGACCAACGGAAGUUGUCAAUACAGCAACGCUUGUUUUGUUCAAUAAAUACCCACGCCGGAAAUGGAAUCAAAGAUAUAUAAAAAUUUGAAGCGAAAUUAGUAUCAUACAUUUGGAACAAGUGAAAGGCUCUGUGCAAUGCUAGAACGCUCAACGAUCGCAGUACUUUCCUUACAAGUUAAAGUCAGAGCUAAGAAAUAACAUAAACGGUACCAAUUUACUGCACCAAUUGCACAUUUCGACAAUCAAUGUCUCUUCAGUCAUGCUCGAAACAAAAAUAUUUCAAAAGCUUAUUAAGAUGAAGAGCUAUUAACCAAAAAGGACCAAAACGUAUAUACAAAGCCGGGAAAGGAAUCAGAGCUUUGCAUGAUGGAGAUACAUUCCUUAAUUUCAAAUAAUUUCCCAAAUUUUGUAACAGCAAAUUUUAAUAACACAAAAUCCACAUUUUCAUGCCAGUACCGAAGUACUGGCUACUGGGCUGGUGAUACCCUCGGGGACUAUCAGUCCACCAUCAGAGGCAUCGACCCAGUGGUAGUAAUAACAUAAACGGUACCAAUUUUUCUGCACCAGAUGCGCAUUUUGACAAUUAAUGUCUCUUCAGUGAUGCUCGAGGCAAAAUAUUUCAAAAUCAAAAGCUUAUUAAAAAGAUGAAGAGCUAUAAACCAAAAAGGACCAAAAAGUAUAGCCAAAGCCGGGAAAGGAAUCAGAGCUUUGCACGAGGGAGAUACAUUCCUUAAUUAUACCCCGCUUUAAAAAAAAUAGGGUAUACUGUUUUACCUCUGUCUGUUCGUCCAUCCAUCCGUCCGUCAGUCCAUUCAUCCGUCCGUCCAUCCGUCCUUCCCAUGAAUAUUUUUCGUCGCAUCUUUCUCAGGAACUGCAUUACAAGGAUUUCUGAAAUUUGGUUUCAGGGUUUAUAUAAGUCAGCUAAACCGUGUGAUGCGUUUUCAGAUUCAUUACUCAACAACUUCCUGUUUACCGAACACUUACAUCAUUUUACACAUGACAUCCAAGUUGAAAAUUUUCGUAACCUUUUUCUCAGGAACUACAUUACAAGGAUUUCUGAAAUUUUGUUUCAGGGUUUAAAUAAGUCAGCUAUACCGUGUGAUGCGUUUUCAGAUUUAUCACUCAACAACUUCCUGUUCACCGAACACUUACAUAUUUUUACACUAUUAAGAUUAUCCACUUGCGGUGGGGGUAUCAUCAGUGAGCAGUAGCUCGUAGUUUCACUCAUUUUAAAUAAUUUCCAAAAUUUUGUAGCAAGAAAUUUUAAUAACACAAAAUCCACAUUUUUAUGCCAGUACCGAGGUACUGGCUACAGGGCUGGUGAUAACCUCGGGGACUAUCUGUCCACCAGCAGAGGCAUUGACUCAGUGGUAGUACAGUAAUAACAUAACCUGUACCAAUUUGUUGCACCAGAUGCGCAUUUUGACAAUCAAUGUCUCUUCAGUCAUGCUCGAGGCCAAAAUAUUUCAAAAUCAAAAGCUUAUUAAAAUGAUGAAGAGCUAUAAACAAAAAAGGACUCAAAAGUAUAGCCAAAGCCGGGAAAGGAAUCAGAGUUUUGCAUGAGGGAGAUACAUUCCUUAAUUUUAAAUAAUUUCGAAAAUUUUGUAACAGCAAAUUAUUAUAACACAAAAUCCGUAUUUUCAUGCCAGUACCGAAGUAAUGGCUACUGGGCUGGUGAUACCCUCGGGGAAAAUCAUUCGUUUAUAAUUAUUGACAAAAUAUUGUUCUCAUUAAGACAGAUUGAUCCUAUUGUCCUUAAAAUUAUAAAUUUCAUAUUUGUAUCUUUGCUUUGUAUUUAACGUGGUAUGAAAAUAACAUCACAACAAAAAUGUAAGAAGUUUAAAUCUAAGAGGCAAUAAUCUGAUAAAAUAUUCAGGAUAUUUCAUAGUUUUGUUUUUGCAUUUCUCGUAUCUACAAGAAAGAAACUAUACACAGGUAUUAAUAAUUAGAUACUUUUUUGUUACAAACAGGGGAAGUGCAAAUAAGGUCUGGUGUUUCCCUUUCCCCUGGAGACCAUGCAAUGACUUUUAGUGUAACAGAUCCAUGUUCAAGGUCAUCAUCUAGUACUCUGACGGUACGAGUAGAGAACGACGUAAGUAUAUUGAAUACUUCUGUUGGUUGUUAUCAUUUUAUACAAUAAUUAAACGCAUAAUCUAUUAAAUGACCGGGAUGUAAGUAAAACACAUGUAUGUAUACUGUCAGUACUUUUCAGAUUGUUGGUUAUCUGUGCAGUACCACUAAUAUUGGGGCCUGGCAGAAACACAUAACUAAAAUAGUACUUACUAAUGCAGAUUAAGUUGUUUACUGUAACUUUUAAGCUGUUAUAGAUAUUUAAACAAAUUUUGCGUCCUUAUUUUUAGAGAUACUUUAUUUAAAAAGUCCAUAAAUUUAGAUACCAUCUAUGGGAACUCAUUCAUCUUUUGAAAAAACGUAUUUUUAAAUGCUAUCGAGAUAAUACCAAGGUAUGAUAUUCGAGUAUUGUUUUUUUACCGGUAUUUACAUUUGAUAUAGGUUGUUGUUGAUAUCCUUAAACAUAACUCGAAAAGUAUUGUCGCCCAAGUAUGAAAUCUUAUGUUCCUACAUCCUGUCGAUAUGGUGCACUUAUAUUUGGCAUUGCACAAAGUAAUGAUUUUUUUCUCAGAACGUUUAUGACGUUUUGACUCUGGAUCUGUUAAAUUUGUUUCGAUUGAUACUUUGGUCUUGAAUAACAUGAUUUUUUUUGAGUUUUUUAACGGUACUUUGUGUAUUUUGUCUUUUUUGUUGUUCUGCUAAGUGCAGUAUGAAAUGCCAAGCCAUUUUCAACAGAUUUUUGCGAUUCGUUCAUAUGUUUUGUUGUUUCACCAGUGUCCCAUGUUUAACCCCGCCACAUUGUAUAUGCGAGUGUCCCAAGUAGCGAACGUGUAAUUCAGUGAUGUAGAAUAUGUCCAGAUAACUGACAUUGUUAUUGCAAAUUUGUAAAUAUAUGCUAUUUAUGAUUUAGAAUAUGCAAUAACAAGAAAAAAUUAGUAAAACUAUUGUUAAGCGUAUAAAAAGUUGCGAUAGUUGUAUAAAUGAAGUUGCGUGCAUUUUGUGGAUAAAUUGACACUAAUGGACAUGAAAUCGUGUCAUUACUGCAUGGAUACGUGACGCCAUUAUAUCAUAUUUGCAAUUAUCACGUCCUUCCCAUGAUCUAUUAGGCAUUUGGAUCAAAAGUUCAAAUUGCCGAUAAAUCACACCAUCAGAUAAACGGUGAAAGUAUUUGGGAUUAAAUAUUUCCUGGGUCAAAAUAUGAAACAUUGAAUUUUACAGCCACCAGUGAUAACAAGUCUGGCUACGAGCAGUUCGAUCACCAUAUCUGAAGACUUAAC